AGAGUUUGAUCCUGGCUCAGAUUGAACGCUGGCGGCAUGCUUUACACAUGCAAGUCGAACGGCAGCGGGGGCUUCGGCCUGCCGGCGAGUGGCGAACGGGUGAGUAAUGCAUCGGAGCGUGCCCAGUCAUGGGGGAUAACUACGCGAAAGCGUAGCUAAUACCGCAUACGCCCUGAGGGGGAAAGCGGGGGAUCGCAAGACCUCGCGUGAUUGGAGCGGCCGAUGUCGGAUUAGCUAGUUGGUGGGGUAAAGGCCUACCAAGGCGACGAUCCGUAGCGGGUCUGAGAGGAUGAUCCGCCACACUGGGACUGAGACACGGCCCAGACUCCUACGGGAGGCAGCAGUGGGGAAUUUUGGACAAUGGGGGCAACCCUGAUCCAGCCAUGCCGCGUGAGUGAAGAAGGCCUUCGGGUUGUAAAGCUCUUUCAGACGGAAAGAAAUCGGGCGGGUGA
Molecule: ribosomal RNA, 452 nt
Filed under: uncultured bacterium
Lineage: Bacteria
Description: bacterial SSU rRNA
Rfam family: Bacterial small subunit ribosomal RNA
Source: RNAcentral